UUCAAAACCAAUGAUAUUAAUGUGGUCUGUGCUAAAGACUGCGAUGCUCUGUCACCUUGAUUUUGCUGAUGAGAUGGCCUCACAAGUGACUUUAAGCAUGCCAAGAGUUGUUCUAAUUACAGAUGAUUAAAGCACUGCACAUAUGAUUAUGACCUCUUACCCUACUCUACCUACCUUGUGAAUACCAAAAGAGGAUCAGCUGGAAAUUUUGCUGCUAAGAGAACUUGCACUACAACUGCUUACAUAUGGCCUAAAAUAAAUUGUCAUUUGCAAAGAAAACUGGGUCAUCCUACUUCAAAUAUGGUGAGGGAGAACCAAAAUAAAAUAUAUGGGGAAUCUGGUAUGAAUAGAUGAAUGAAAUGAGUAAGAGUGAUAGGUAAGAAUACAACAGUUACACAGGAGCUGUCUUAAUGAGCACAGCUCCCAUUCAUCAUGUUCUCCUCUCAGCUUCCUCAAUUACUUUCAGAAUAACUGUCUUUUUGUAAAUAGCUAAUUUAAUGGAGCAAUAUUUCAUGUUUAUAUUGUUCCUUUUCUUAAAGAAACUACAGUUGUUCACAUGACACUGGUCUGAAGAGCUUUCUUUGAAGUCAGUAGUAAGUAUAGAAUGACUGAAUGAAUCAGACUUUUUUUUUGGUAGGGUAUAGAAGCUGAAUUACUCCUCAUAGACUGUGAAAUGCUUGCAAAUACUGGAAUAGAACUCAGCUAAUUAUCUGUCAUUGAGGAAAUCCAGUGAAGAAAGAAAGUGAGGUUUUGAAGAGUCAGCAGAGACAAGAAAGUGCUUCCACAGAACAAUCUUCCUCCUCUGUGACAAAGCUCCACAUUAGGAUAAAAUGGACUGUGCUGAGCUUCCGCUGAAUAUAGUCACCACAGACGAGGAAAACCAAGAGAGUGAUCUCAGAUACAGACCACAUGGGUUGGAGUCCUCCAAGGUCAGGCCCUCUGCCACACUUACCAAUGGCCAGGACUGUACAAAUUAUGGCAUGGCUACAGACAAAGGAGAAGAUUCUGCCUCUACCACCUGGCCCCAUGUAUAUUGUGGAAAAACAAGGAUUCUAACUGCACUACAGCACAGCCCUAUCCUACCAGCAAAAGGUGCUUCUGGUAUUGAAAGUCGAGCAGAUGAAGCAGACUCUUCCUGA
This is a long non-coding RNA of Parus major (Great Tit), 1139 nucleotides long. Lineage: Eukaryota; Metazoa; Chordata; Aves; Passeriformes; Paridae. The record is from Ensembl.